RNAcentral lists this long non-coding RNA (208 nucleotides) under Gossypium barbadense (sea-island cotton). Its description in RNAcentral is "long non-coding RNA (GBAR_LNC010295)". Lineage: Eukaryota; Viridiplantae; Streptophyta; Magnoliopsida; Malvales; Malvaceae. The record is from RNAcentral.
UCUCACAUUGCUUGUCUCUCUAAAUAUAGUAAAUCAUAGCAUGACAUAGUAACUGUGGCUAGCCUACGAGUUUUGAUACACUAAUGAAUGAGUUUUUCUAUGGUUGUGACUUUGUCACUGUUCUUUUUCAUUUUUUUCUCACUCAAGAAUGAUUUUUGGCUUUUCAGGUACUUUUUCUAUUUGUAUGGAUUUUCUUUUUGGAUUUUUC